AGAGUUUGAUCCUGGCUCAGGACGAACGCUGACGGUGUGCUUUAGGCAUGCAAGUCGAACGAGAAAGCCCUUCGGGGUGAGUAAAGUGGCGAACGGGUGAGUAACACGUGGGCAACCUGCCCCUCGCAGGGGGACAACCGGAGGAAACUCCGGCUAAUACCCCGUACGCUUGUUGGGUCGCAUGGCUCGGCAAGGAAAGGUAGCUUCGGCCAUCCGGCGAGGGAUGGGCCCGCGUUGCAUUAGCUAGUUGGUGGGGUAACGGCCCACCAAGGCGACGAUGCGUAGCUGGUCUGAGAGGAUGAUCAGCCACACUGGGACUGAGACACGGCCCAGACUCCUACGGGAGGCAGCAGCCAGGAAUCUUGGGCAAUGGGCGAAAGCCUGACCCAGCAACACCGUGUGGGCGAUGAAGGCCUUAGGGUCGUAAAGCCCUGUUGAUAGGGACGAAGGGCGAAGGGUUAAUAGCCCCUAGCUUGACGGUACCUUUCGAGGAAGCCCCGGCUAACUACGUGCCAGCAGCCGCGGUAAUACGUAGGGGGCGAGCGUUGUCCGGAAUUAUUGGGCGUAAAGAGCGUGUAGGCGGUUCGGUAAGUCUGCUGUGAAAUCCUGGGGCUCAACCCUGGGCGUGCAGCGGAUACUGCCGGGCUAGAGGGUGGUAGAGGCGAGUGGAAUUCCGAGUGUAGCGGUGAAAUGCGCAGAUAUUCGGAGGAACACCAGUAGCGAAGGCGGCUCGCUGGGCCACACCUGACGCUGAGACGCGAAAGCGUGGGGAGCGAACAGGAUUAGAUACCCCCGUAGUCC
RNAcentral lists this ribosomal RNA (801 nucleotides) under uncultured Rubrobacter sp. Its description in RNAcentral is "bacterial SSU rRNA". It matches the Rfam family "Bacterial small subunit ribosomal RNA", at positions 8 to 796 of the family's 1533-position model. Lineage: Bacteria; Bacillati; Actinomycetota; Rubrobacteria; Rubrobacterales; Rubrobacteraceae. The record is from RNAcentral.